GACGAACGCUGGCGGCGUGCUUAACACAUGCAAGUCGAGCGGUAAGGCCCUCGGGUACGACGAGCGGCGAACGGGUGAGUAACACGUGGGUGACCUGCCCUUAGCUCUGGGAUAAGCCUGGGAAACUGGGUCUAAUACCGGAUAUGACCUCAUGACGCAUGUUGUGGGGUGGAAAGCCUUGUGCGGCUAGGGAUGGGCCCGCGGCCUAUCAGCUUGUUGGUGGGGUGAUGGCCUACCAAGGCGACGACGGGUAGCCGGCCUGAGAGGCGACCGGCCACACUGGGACUGAGACACGGCCCAGACUCCUACGGGAGGCAGCAGUGGGGAAUCUUGCGCAAUGGGCGAAAGCCUGACGCAGCGACGCCGCGUGAGGGAUGACGGCCUGGU
RNAcentral lists this ribosomal RNA (387 nucleotides) under uncultured bacterium. RNAcentral describes it as "bacterial SSU rRNA". It matches the Rfam family "Bacterial small subunit ribosomal RNA", at positions 28 to 420 of the family's 1533-position model. The record is from RNAcentral.